Eriocheir sinensis (Chinese mitten crab) is the source of this 1145-nucleotide long non-coding RNA. RefSeq lists it as uncharacterized. The record is from RefSeq and is a predicted model, not a curated record. The transcript has 3 exons. NCBI's taxonomy places the organism in Eukaryota, Metazoa, Arthropoda, Malacostraca, Decapoda, Varunidae.
GGAAACCAGGACUGUAGCUGUAGGACGGGGCAGAUGGAAACAGUAGAACACCUAAUAGUGGAAUGCAGCAACUAUGAGAGGCAGAGAGGGGAGUUGGUGGCAGGAGUAGUGAUGGUAAUAGGCGGAGAGGAGUGGGCUAGGAGACUAGAGGAGGAAAACGGGGCGAUCUGCACGGUGUUGGGGCUGCAUGGAGACAAAAAGGAAACGGAAAGAAAAAUGGUAAAGUUGGCAAAAGUGUUCCUCGCGCAGUGCUGGGAAAAAAGGGCACAAAUGUCCGUAUAAGUGAAUAUAAGUGGCUUUAUUUCAGAUUAGAAAAUUACAUAACGCUGAAAAGAAAGUUGUGUGAAUAAGAAGGGAGGAACGAGAGGAGGAGGACCUAAGAAGCGAUACAAAGCGUUACAGGUCAAAAGAAGAAGAAGAAGAAGGCGCGGCGCCCCACACACCAGAACACUUCCUGCCACGGCUACACUCCCCCACACCAGCCGCAAGGCAGCCCCAGCCAGGCUCCACACCCUCAGGUCAGCCUGUGACACCCUCAGGGGAAUGCUCACGUUUUUGGGAUUGCUUCAAAGCUUGACGAGACACCUCUCCCAGGCUCCCUCCUUCACGCUGGACCACCCCUGGAGGAGGACUCCCUGGAGCCUGCCAAGGAGUACAGGGAUGCUGACACCAAUGAGUUCUGUCCUGCCAGGCCGCUGCUCCCCGGGUGUUGUAGUAGUCCAUGAGGUAGGCGCGGAUUCCCGUGCUUUUAUAUGCCACAGGGGCAUCAGAUGAUCAGCUGUCAGAAAUCUUGGCACUGUCGGAGAAUUGUCCCCGACAUGUCGCCGACACUUCGGGGACAUGCGAAGACAAUUCGGAGACUUGUCGCCAGUUAUUCCGCGACAAAAAAAAAAAAAAAAAAAAAAGUUAAAAUUUCUGAUUUUGAGCUCGGCGACAUGGACGCAGAAUAGUCGGCGACAUGUCUCCGAACUUUCCCCGAAUUGUCUUGACCAUUCACCGACAUGUCGCCGAAUGGUCACGAACUGUAAGAAUCUUGGUCAUGUCGGCGAACCGGUCGCUGAAUUUUUUCACGAUCUGAUUCGGCGUCAAGUUCGUGGCCAAAAUUCAGCAGUGUAUUUGGGGCUUUACACUCCCCAUAACAGUGG